Molecule: unclassified non-coding RNA, 149 nt
Filed under: soil metagenome
Description: partial internal transcribed spacer 1
Source: RNAcentral
GCAGAGUGAUAGACUCUCUAAACCAUUGUGAACUACCUACCCGUUGCUUCGGGGCGGCCAGCGCCCCCCGGCCCCGCGGGCUGCCCGCCGGAGGAUACCCAAACUCUUGAUUAUUAGUGGCUUCUCUGAGUAUCUUAUGCAAUAAGUCA